RNAcentral lists this transfer RNA (64 nucleotides) under Chiropotes albinasus. Its description in RNAcentral is "tRNA-Lys". The record is from RNAcentral. Lineage: Eukaryota; Metazoa; Chordata; Mammalia; Primates; Pitheciidae.
CACUGUAAAGCUAUCAAGCAUUAACCUUUUAAGUUAAAGACUGAGAGACCCCUCUCUACAGUGA